This 1967-nucleotide long non-coding RNA is filed under the name Ricinus communis (castor bean). RNAcentral's name for it is "long non-coding RNA (RCOM_LNC002622)". Lineage: Eukaryota; Viridiplantae; Streptophyta; Magnoliopsida; Malpighiales; Euphorbiaceae. The record is from RNAcentral.
GUUACAAUAUACAUUCAUACAAUUUAAGUGGCAUGACAUACUUAAUAUAUAUAAAAAAUAUUUAUACAGUAGUUUAAUUCACACAAGUUUCCAAAAUGCCCCAAUGCUUUAGAUAACUCCUCUGGCCCACCUGAUAAUAUUGACUGAUACAAAGAGAGCAAUGCACAGCUAAGGCUAUCUACAACUGCACUAACCUGAAAAAAAAAUUUGUUAAGGAAUGAGCUAGCGACUCAAUAAGCAUUUAAUUUACUAAACUAUAGUAUAUUAGGCUAGAAUUAUCAAAUUUUUAUCAAUACAGAAAAUUAUACCAACACUUAACUAACAAUCACAAAAUCAACCAUUUCAGUUAUUCUCAUAAACAUAUAAUUUCAUCUCACGUAAUGCAAAUAAUCUCAAACUCAACCAAGUCAAAUAAUUUAAUUCCAUAUUAUUUCUAUCAAAUUAGGAUCAGAUGACUCAUCCUUACAUUUCCUCACAUUUUUAAAUUUCAGUAAGCACUUGACAAGACUAUCCGCCCGGCUCAGCUUUCCCGAUCACACAAUAUCCAUACAAGAGUCAUCAAUCCUUAAUCACAAUCAAUUCACUUCACAACACAUCACAAUCAAUUCACUUUACAACAAGCCAAAAAUAUAACUAAUAUCAACUCAGUCAACCAAAAAAUUAUCAAGUAAUCAAACAGCAGUUCCUACUCAAUAUACACAAAGUUUAGUCUAUUAAAUACUUACCAAAAGUUAUAGGAUAACAAAGUAAUCCUAUUCUUUUUCUCUUACCACUUCCUUGCCUUUGGAUGAACCUAUUCACAUAUUCAAUACAAAUACAAUUCAAUCACAAGGCAUAUAUAUAUAUAUUAACUAUUAAUAAAAUAUCACAUUUCAACAAAAUAACAUAUAUUCUAGAUAUAAAUAUGAUGCAUGAGAUGAAUGACAACAAAUCAACAUAUUUGUUGAUGAAGGCAGCUUGUAGGUACUGAUUUAGAAAUUACACCAAAACUUAUGUACAAUUAAUAAAAAUCUCAUAUUUUCCAAAAUUACACGUCCAUUUUUAUAGAAACCAUAGCAGAAAGAAUCACUUUAAAAUCAUUGGUAUAGAAAUAGUUAUGGCAUUUUCUAUACAGCUGCUCAAAUUUCUAUCUAAACAGAACAGCAAAAAGUUUCCUAUUAAAUAACCAAUUAAACGAAUGAAUUUUCUGAUGAAACUCUUCAGAUAUAAAUUUAACAUUCUAAAGUUUCUAUAGACACUAAUUUUACUCAAUUUGGACUUCUCUAGCUCAAGUUGUGAAACACAAAAUUAGCAACAAAUUUCUGAAUCCUAAGCCAGAUUUCUACUUAAAACAGUUUCGGGCAGGCCAUAUUAAGUUCAACAUAUCUCACGUUAUACUCAACCAAAAAUUAUGAAAUUUUGCAGACAUAUACUAGAUAUAUAAAUGAACACCUUUCAUGUUUAACUCUCUGCUUGGUUCAGUCUCUAAAUGCCUCAAAAUGUCAGCACAAAAACCAGGUCACCUGCUGAACUAAAAACAGAGCAGCAGUAAAAUCGAAUCUCAUAAGUUCCUACUCACUCAACAAUCUGCAAAACCAUUUUACAGAGAUAUUCUUGAGACAUAUACCUACAACUUUCAUGUUUGAGAAUUUUCGAGAUAAAGCCUCUAAGGUCACGAAAUCAUAAGUGAAAUAUCUGCCCAGAAAUUUCAGCUUCAAGAUCACAAGUAAAAGCAUGUUUACUCUUGAUUAAACAAUUCCAAAAUACAUAAUCAUCAACAAUUUCAUAUCAUUAACCCUAAUUUACAGCAAAAUCAAGCAAUUAAAAUUACUCACCUUUGUUUUCCUUAAUUAAGAAAGCCCAAAUCUUUCAAGCUUAAAAGAAGAAUUUGAUUUUCACUUACUAAAAAUUUUGUAGAGUUUGAUUUGGAAAAUCAAAGUUGAAGAAGGAAAGGAGAAAAAUGAGAGAGACAAAGAAGAAAAGGAAAU